RNAcentral lists this ribosomal RNA (443 nucleotides) under uncultured bacterium. RNAcentral describes it as "partial 16S ribosomal RNA". It matches the Rfam family "Bacterial small subunit ribosomal RNA", at positions 338 to 795 of the family's 1533-position model. The record is from RNAcentral.
CCUACGGGUGGCAGCAGUGGGGAAUAUUGGGCAAUGGGCGCAAGCCUGACCCAGCAACGCCGCGUGAAGGAAGAAGGCCCUCGGGUUGUAAACUUCUUUUAUCAAGGACGAAACAAAUGACGGUACUUGAUGAAUAAGCCACGGCUAACUACGUGCCAGCAGCCGCGGUAAUACGUAGGUGGCAAGCGUUAUCCGGAUUUACUGGGUGUAAAGGGCGUGUAGGCGGGACUGCAAGUCAGGUGUGAAAACUCCGGGCUCAACCUGGAGACUGCACUUGAAACUGGGUGUCUUGAGGGCAGGAGAGGAAAGUGGAAUUCCUAGUGUAGCGGUGAAAUGCGUAGAUAUUAGGAGGAACACCAGUGGCGAAGGCGACUUUCUGGACUGUACCUGACGCUGAGGCGCGAAAGCGUGGGUAGCGAACGGGAUUAGAUACCCUUGUAGUC